UUGGAGGGCAAGUCUGGUGCCUGCAGCCGCGGUAAUUCCAGCUCCAAUAGCGUAUAUUAAAGUUGUUGUGGUUAAAAAGCUCGUAGUAGAAGCUCGGGCUCCGGCCGACCGGUCCGCCUCACCGCGCGCACUGGUUCGGCCGGGCCUUCACCUUCUGCGGAACCGCAUCUCCUUCACUGGGGGUGUCGGGGAAACAGGACGUUUACUGUGAAAAAAUUAGAGUGCUCCAGGCAGGCCUAUGCUCGAAUAGAUUAGCAUGGAAUAAUGGAAUAGG
This 274-nucleotide ribosomal RNA is filed under the name uncultured Ascomycota. Its description in RNAcentral is "partial 18S ribosomal RNA". It matches the Rfam family "Eukaryotic small subunit ribosomal RNA", at positions 548 to 826 of the family's 1831-position model. Lineage: Eukaryota; Fungi; Ascomycota. The record is from RNAcentral.